This is an RNA transcript of Arabidopsis lyrata subsp. lyrata, 1891 nucleotides long. RefSeq lists it as uncharacterized. The transcript is spliced from 2 exons. Lineage: Eukaryota; Viridiplantae; Streptophyta; Magnoliopsida; Brassicales; Brassicaceae. The record is from RefSeq and is a predicted model, not a curated record.
CUAAUGCACAUGGUGGCUCUACAAGUAAGAAGGACUACACUAAUCGUCAUAGAUGGGAAGUAUAUAAUGCUUUGCUUGAAAGGAGUGUUAGAGGGAGAUUAGGUAGAAAUGUUGUUAAAGAAGUAGCGAAUUUGCAUUCCAUGCAUAUUAGAACUGUUCAGCGAAUUUGGAAACAAGCAAAGGGGACUCCAGCUGGUGCAUUGGUUGAUGUUUCUCAAAAAAGGAAGAACAGAUGUGGUCGCAAGAGGAUUCAGAUAGAUCUCCAACGUGUUUUGGACAUUCCUCUACGUAAAAGGACAACUUUAAGGAUGCUAGCUGAAGCUAUAGGAGUUAGUCACUCAACUCUGUUUAAGAAUGUGAAAGAAGGUGUCAUGAGGCGACAUUCUAAUGCUCUCAAACCACAUCUAAAAGAAGAGAACAAGGUGGCAAGGCUCAGAUUUUGCAUGAAUAUGUUGGACCCUGUAAGCUUGAGUCAUGAACCAUAGUUUAUAGAUAUGUACAACAUUGUACAUAUUGAUGAAAAGUGGUUCUAUAUGACAAAGAGAACCGAGACCUACUACCUUCUACCUGAAGAAGAUGAUCCUAUAAGGACAUGUCAAAGCAAGAAUUUUAUUGGGAAAGUCAUGGUUCUAGUUGCAAUGGCAAGGCCAAGGUUCAAUGCUCAAGGAGUUGAAACUUUCUCUGGUAAGAUAGGUGUGUUUCCUUUCAUCACACGUCAGCCUGCUCAAAGGAGGAGUAGAAAUAGAGAAGCUGGAACAAUAGUAAUCAAACCGGUUACUUCAGUCAAGAGAGGUGAUGUUAGAAAAAUGUUGUUGGAAGAUGUUAUACCUAAGAUUCGUGAGAAGUGGCCUCUUGAAGAUGAAGGAAAAACAAUCUUAAUUCAACAGGAUAAUGCUAGAACUCAUGUGGAUCCAACUGAUACAAAUUUUCAAGAACAUGCUUCACAGAACGGAUUUGAUAUCAGACUGAUGUGUCAACCGCCUAAUUCACCGGAUAUGAAUGUUCUGGACCUUGGUUUCUUUAGUGCAAUACAAGCACUACAACAUAAGGUGUGUCCCGAAACCAUUGAACAGCUUAUAGAUGCAGUCAAUACAGCUUUUGAAGAGUAUCCAACUAGGAAGAUAAACCACAUCUUCUUAACUCUGCAACUCUGCAUGAAAGAGACAAUGAGGAUUGGAGGUUCUAAUAAUUACAAGAUUCCACACAUAAAGAAAGAAGCUUUGGAACGAGAGGGUUUGCUUCCGAGACAAAUCAAAUGUGAUCCUUCCAUUGUAAACAAUGUCUUAAAUCAAUUAAGAGACUAAGGUUAGCUAUCGAAUUGAUAAGGUUUCAAUUCUGUUAAUAAUGUUUUACUUUCAAUCAUGUGUGUUUGUUUGUUUUUCUGUCUCAGGUACGUUGAUCAGUUCAGAAGAGUGGGAUUAAUGUUCAAUGCCAGGUUAGAUUUCAUAUAACGUCUAUCUCCUUAGAUGAACAAGGGUCUAGUUUUUCCCAAGUCCUUGAGUCUUCCCUCUCUGUUCUUAGCAUGAUCUGAAAUGUUCAAGCAGGUGUUACUGAAAGUAGCAGUUUGCUAUGAGUAUAUGGGUAUGGGACAGAUUAUUCUUCAAUUUAUAGCCUUUUGAAUAUCGUGUGUCUUCCUUAUUCUGGUUCAACUUUGCAUCUCUGGACUUCUUCAUCUGACAAAAGCUUCAUUGGAGGCUUACUCUUUGUUUCUUCAUCUUCUUCUAUUUUAAGGGUUUUUCCUGGAUGAUUUUUGGGCUUUUGUUUAUGGAUGUUUUGUUGUUUUGACCUUGAGUUCAUAUCAAAAUUUUCAGAAUUUCUUGACAGUCUCAAAAGGAUUAUUAGGUCAGAUUUCUUUGUUUUGGUAUCUUACUUAGCUCACUCUAGAAUUAUA